GUAGAGAUCUCUUUUUUUAUAUGUGCAUAUAGAAUUACACACAUUUCUGAAGCCAGGACACCCAUCAGUUCCAGGGAGACCAUUACUGUAUGACGUGUAUUCCAGUGUAACAGGUUUCAGAGUAGCAGCCGUGUUAGUCUGUAUUCGCAAAAAGAAAAGG
Dermochelys coriacea (leatherback sea turtle) is the source of this 160-nucleotide long non-coding RNA. RefSeq lists it as uncharacterized. The transcript is spliced from 3 exons. The record is from RefSeq and is a predicted model, not a curated record. Lineage: Eukaryota; Metazoa; Chordata; Testudines; Dermochelyidae.